GAACCAGGCAAAAUGGCACCGUAACUUCGGGAGAAGGUGCGCCCUUUGGUGUGGUCACGUGCGUGACUGAGCAUCGAAGGGUCGCAGUAACCUGGCCGCUGCGACUGUUUAUCAAAAACACAGCACUCUGCAAACACGAAAGUGGACGUAUAGGGUGUGACGCCUGCCCGGUGCUGGAAGGUUAAUUGAUGGGGUCAGCCGCAAGGCGAAGCUCUUGAUCGAAGCCCCAGUAAACGGCGGCCGUAACUAUAACGGUCCUAAGGUAGCGAAAUUCCUUGUCGGGUAAGUUCCGACCUGCACGAAUGGCGUAACGACAGCGGCGCUGUCUCCACCCGAGACUCAGUGAAAUUGAAAUCGCUGUGAAGAUGCAGCGUUCCCGCGGCAAGACGGAAAGACCCCGUGAACCUUUACUAUAGCUUUACACUGAACGUUGAGUUCUUCUGUGUAGGAUAGGUGGGAGGCUAUGAAACCAGGACGCUAGUUCUGGUGGAGCCAUCCUUGAAAUACCACCCUGAAGUGCUUGACGUUCUAACCUAGGCCCGUAAUCCGGGUCAGGGACCGUGUAUGGUGGGUAGUUUGACUGGGGCGGUCUCCUCCCAAAGAGUAACGGAGGAGCACGAAGGUACGCUCAGCGCGGUCGGACAUCGCGCACUGUGUGCAAAGGCAUAAGCGUGCUUGACUGCGAGAUCGACGGAUCAAGCAGGUACGAAAGUAGGUCUUAGUGAUCCGGUGGUUCUGUAUGGAAGGGCCAUCGCUCAACGGAUAAAAGGUACUCCGGGGAUAACAGGCUGAUACCGCCCAAGAGUUCAUAUCGACGGCGGUGUUUGGCACCUCGAUGUCGGCUCAUCACAUCCUGGGGCUGUAGCCGGUCCCAAGGGUAUGGCUGUUCGCCAUUUAAAGUGGUACGCGAGCUGGGUUCAGAACGUCGUGAGACAGUUCGGUCCCUAUCUGUCGUGGGCGUUGGAGAUUUGAGGGGGGCUGCUCCUAGUACGAGAGGACCGGAGUGGACGUUCCGCUGGUGUUCGGGUUGUCAUGCCCAUGGCAUUGCCCGGUAGCUACGAACGGAAGUGAUAACCGCUGAAAGCAUCUAAGCGGGAAGCACGCCCCAAGAUGAGAUCUCCCGAGAGCUUGACUCUCCUAAAGGCACCAUCAAGACUAGGUGGUUGAUAGGUCAGGUGUGGAAGCGCAGCAAUGCGUUGAGCUAACUGAUACUAAUGAGCCGUGAGGCUUGACC
Molecule: ribosomal RNA, 1234 nt
Filed under: metagenome
Description: bacterial LSU rRNA
Rfam family: Bacterial large subunit ribosomal RNA
Source: RNAcentral